Molecule: ribosomal RNA, 253 nt
Filed under: uncultured bacterium
Lineage: Bacteria
Description: partial 16S ribosomal RNA
Rfam family: Bacterial small subunit ribosomal RNA
Source: RNAcentral
UACGUAGGGGGCAAGCGUUGUCCGGAUUUAUUGGGCGUAAAGAGCGUGUAGGCGGCCAGACAGGUCCGUUGUGAAAACUCGAGGCUCAACCUCGAGACGCCGAUGGAAACCGUCUGGCUAGAGUCCGGAAGAGGAGAGUGGAAUUCCUGGUGUAGCGGUGAAAUGCGCAGAUAUCAGGAAGAACACCUAUGGCGAAGGCAGCUCUCUGGGACGGUACUGACGCUGAGACGCGAAAGCGUGGGGAGCGAACAGG